GGUAGAGACUGAACGGCCACAUUGGGACUGAGACACGGCCCAAACUCCUACGGGAGGCAGCAGUAGGGAAUCUUCCACAAUGGACGCAAGUCUGAUGGAGCAACGCCGCGUGAGUGAAGAAGGUUUUCGGAUCGUAAAGCUCUGUUGUUGGUGAAGAAGGGAUAGAGGUAGUAACUGGCCUUUAUUUGACGGUAAUCAACCAGAAAGUCACGGCUAACUACGUGCCAGCAGCCGCGGUAAUACGUAGGUGGCAAGCGUUGUCCGGAUUUAUUGGGCGUAAAGCGAGCGCAGGCGGAAGAAUAAGUCUGAUGUGAAAGCCCUCGGCUUAACCGAGGAACUGCAUCGGAAACUGUUUUUCUUGAGUGCAGAAGAGGAGAGUGGAAUUCCAUGUGUAGCGGUGGAAUGCGUAGAUAUAUGGAAGAACACCAGUGGCGAAGGCGACUCUCUGGUCUCGCAAACUGACGCUGAGGCUCGAAAGCAUGGGUAGCGAACAGGAUUAGAUACCCUGGUAGUCCAUGCCGUAAACGAU
RNAcentral lists this ribosomal RNA (529 nucleotides) under uncultured bacterium. RNAcentral's name for it is "bacterial SSU rRNA". It matches the Rfam family "Bacterial small subunit ribosomal RNA", at positions 290 to 810 of the family's 1533-position model. The record is from RNAcentral.